UACGUAGGGUGCAAGCGUUAAUCGGAAUUACUGGGCGUAAAGCGUGCGCAGGCGGUUAUGUAAGACAGGUGUGAAAUCCCCGGGCUUAACCUGGGAACUGCAUUUGUGACUGCAUAGCUAGAGUACGGUAGAGGGGGAUGGAAUUCCGCGUGUAGCAGUGAAAUGCGUAGAUAUGCGGAGGAACACCGAUGGCGGAGGCAAUCCCCUGGACCUGUACUGACGCUCAUGCACGAAAGCGUGGGGAGCAAACAGG
RNAcentral lists this ribosomal RNA (253 nucleotides) under uncultured bacterium. RNAcentral describes it as "partial 16S ribosomal RNA". It matches the Rfam family "Bacterial small subunit ribosomal RNA", at positions 524 to 776 of the family's 1533-position model. The record is from RNAcentral.